Long non-coding RNA from Oncorhynchus keta (chum salmon), 559 nucleotides. RefSeq lists it as uncharacterized. The record is from RefSeq and is a predicted model, not a curated record. The transcript has 3 exons. Lineage: Eukaryota; Metazoa; Chordata; Actinopteri; Salmoniformes; Salmonidae.
ACUCCUAAUUACAGGUGAGCUGUGAACCCCUAAUUACAGGUGAGAUGUGAACUCCUAAUUACAGGUGAACUGUGAACUCCUAAUUACAGGUGAGAUGUGAACCCCUAAUUACAGGUGAGAUGUGAACCCCUAAUUACAGGUGAACUGUGAACUCCUAAUUACAGGUGAGCCGUGAACUCCUAAUUACAGGUGAACUGUGAACUCCUAAUUACAGGUGAGCUGUGAACUUCUAAUUACAGGUGAACUGUGAACUCCUAAUUACAGGUGAGCUGUGAACUCCUAAUUACAGGUGAGCUGUGAACUCCUAAUUACAGGUGAGCUGUGAACUCCUAAUUACAGGUGAGCUGUGAACUCCUAAUUACAGGUGAACUGUGAACCCCUAAUUACAGGUGAGAUGUGAACUCCUAAUUACAGGUGAGCUGUGAACCUCUAAUUACAGGUGAGAUGUGAACUACUAAUUACAGGUGAGAUGUGAACUCCUAAUUACAGGUGAGCUGUGAACUCCUAAUUACAGGUGAGAUGUGAACUCCUAAUUACAGGUGAACUGUGAACUCAUAAA